This 965-nucleotide ribosomal RNA is filed under the name uncultured marine bacterium. Its description in RNAcentral is "bacterial SSU rRNA". It matches the Rfam family "Bacterial small subunit ribosomal RNA", at positions 54 to 1063 of the family's 1533-position model. The record is from RNAcentral.
CAUGCAAGUCGAACGAAGUAGUAAUACUUAGUGGCAGACGGGUGAGUAACAUGUGGGUAUCUGCCCUUUGGCCUGGAAUAACACGAGGAAACUUGUGCUAAUACUGGAUAAGUCUUUACAGAGAAAGCUUUAUGCACCAUUGGAUGAGCCCGCACUUGAUUAGUUUGUUGGUGGGGUAAUGGCCUACCAAGACUGUGAUCAAUAGCUGAUUUGAGAGGAUGAUCAGCCACAUUGGGACUGAGACACGGCCCAAACUCCUACGGGAGGCAGCAGUGGGGAAUCUUGCACAAUGGAGGAAACUCUGAUGCAGCGAUGCCGCGUGAGUGAAGAAGGCCCUUGGGUUGUAAAGCUCUUUCGUCGGGGAAGAAAAUGACUGUACCCGAAUAAGAAGGUCCGGCUAACUUCGUGCCAGCAGCCGCGGUAAUACGAAGGGACCUAGCGUAGUUCGGAAUUACUGGGCUUAAAGAGUUCGUAGGUGGUUGAAAAAGUUGGUGGUGAAAUCCCAGAGCUUAACUCUGGAACUGCCAUCAAAACUUUUCAGCUAGAGUUUGAUAGAGGAAAGCAGAAUUUCUAGUGUAGAGGUGAAAUUCGUAGAUAUUAGAAAGAAUACCAAUUGCGAAGGCAGCUUUCUGGAUCAUUACUGACACUGAGGAACGAAAGCAUGGGUAGCGAAGAGGAUUAGAUACCCUCGUAGUCCAUGCCGUAAACGAUGUGUGUUAGACGUUGGAAAUUUAUUUUCAGUGUCGCAGCGAAAGCGAUAAACACACCGCCUGGGGAGUACGACCGCAAGGUUAAAACUCAAAUGAAUUGACGGGGACCCGCACAAGUAGUGGAGCAUGUGGUUUAAUUCGAAGAUACGCGCAGAACCUUACCAACACUUGACAUGUUCGUCGCGACUUUAAGAGAUUAAAGUUUACGGUUCGGCCGGACGAAACACAGGUGCUGCAUGGCUGUCGUCAGCUCGU